This 76-nucleotide transfer RNA is filed under the name marine sediment metagenome. RNAcentral's name for it is "tRNA-Asn". It matches the Rfam family "tRNA". Rfam says of the family: Transfer RNA (tRNA) molecules are approximately 80 nucleotides in length. Their secondary structure includes four short double-helical elements and three loops (D, anti-codon, and T loops). The record is from RNAcentral.
UUCGCAGUAGCUCAGUUGGUAGAGUGCCGGCCUGUUAAACCGGAUGCCGGGGGUUCGAGUCCUCCCUGCGGAGCCA